UCCGGUUUGUCACCGGCAGUCACCUUAGAGUGCCCAACUAAAUGCUGGCAACUAAGAUCAAGGGUUGCGCUCGUUGCGGGACUUAACCCAACAUCUCACGACACGAGCUGACGACAGCCAUGCAGCACCUGGACCUAGGUUCCCUUGCGGGCACUCCCUCGUCUCUGAGGAAUUCCUAGUUUUUCUAGCCCGGGUAAGGUUCUGCGCGUUGCGUCGAAUUAAACCACAUGCUCCACCGCUUGUGCGGGCCCCCGUCAAUUCCUUUGAGUUUCAGCCUUGCGGCCGUACUCCCCAGGCGGGGCACUUCAUGCGUUAGCGCCGGUACCCCGGGGGUCGCUCCCCAGAGCACCUAGUGCCCAUCGUUUACGGCGUGGACUAC
RNAcentral lists this unclassified non-coding RNA (379 nucleotides) under uncultured bacterium. Its description in RNAcentral is "contains 16S-23S intergenic spacer region". The record is from RNAcentral.